Molecule: ribosomal RNA, 253 nt
Filed under: uncultured bacterium
Lineage: Bacteria
Description: partial 16S ribosomal RNA
Rfam family: Bacterial small subunit ribosomal RNA
Source: RNAcentral
UACAGAGGAUGCAAGCGUUAUCCGGAAUGAUUGGGCGUAAAGCGUCUGUAGGUGGCUUUUUAAGUCCGCCGUCAAAUCCCAGGGCUCAACUCUGGACAGGCGGUGGAAACUACCAAGCUGGAGUACGGUAGGGGCAGAGGGAAUUUCCGGUGGAGCGGUGAAAUGCGUAGAGAUCGGAAGGAACGCCGGUGGCGAAAGCACUCUGCUGGGCCGACACUGACACUGAGAGACGAAAGCUAGGGGAGCGAAUGGG